Potamilus streckersoni is the source of this 77-nucleotide non-coding RNA. The record is from the annotation of a GenBank genome assembly. Lineage: Eukaryota; Metazoa; Mollusca; Bivalvia; Unionida; Unionidae.
GAUCCGAUGGCCAAGUGGUUAAAGCGUCAGCCUCGGAUGCGGAAGGUUGCGGAUUCGAACCCGGCUGAGACAUACCA